RNAcentral lists this ribosomal RNA (526 nucleotides) under Sagra sp. GJK-2010. RNAcentral's name for it is "partial 16S ribosomal RNA". It matches the Rfam family "Bacterial large subunit ribosomal RNA", at positions 1807 to 2608 of the family's 2925-position model. The record is from RNAcentral. Lineage: Eukaryota; Metazoa; Arthropoda; Insecta; Coleoptera; Chrysomelidae.
UCAAAAACAUGUCCUUAAGAUUAUAAUUUAAGGUUUGGCCUGCCCGAUGAAACGUUGAAUGGCCGCGGUAUUUUGACCGUGCUAAGGUAGCAUAAUAAUUAGUUUAUUGAUUGUAAGCUUGAAUGAAGGGCUGGAUGAAAAAAUGGCUGUCUUUUUUUUAUUUUUAUAAUUUUACUUUUAAGUUAAAAGGCUUGAAUUUUUUUGUGGGACGAGAAGACCCUAUAGAGUUUUAUAUCUUUACUAUUUUAGCAUGUGAAGGAUUAAUUUAUUUAGAUUUGUGGAGAUAUUUAGUUGGGGCGAUUUAUAAAUUAAUAUAACUUUUUAUUAUUAAUACACUAAUGGGUGAUUUUUUGAUCCUUUUUUACGAUUAGAAGAUAAAAUUACCUUAGGGAUAACAGCGUAAUUUUCUUUGAGAGUUCUUAUCGAUAGGAGAGAUUGCGACCUCGAUGUUGGAUUAAAAAUUUAAUUUUGGUGCAGAAGCUGAAAUUUAGGGUCUGUUCGACCCCUUAGUUUUUACAUGAUCUGA